RNAcentral lists this small RNA (23 nucleotides) under Arabidopsis thaliana (thale cress). RNAcentral's name for it is "ATSL069100". The record is from RNAcentral. Lineage: Eukaryota; Viridiplantae; Streptophyta; Magnoliopsida; Brassicales; Brassicaceae.
AGCCAAGAGAUCGUUUGCUGACA